UACGGGGGGGGCAAGCGUUGUUCGGAAUUACUGGGCGUAAAGGGCUCGUAGGCGGCCAACUAAGUCAGACGUGAAAUCCCUCGGCUUAACCGGGGAACUGCGUCUGAUACUGGAUGGCUUGAGUUUGGGAGAGGGAUGCGGAAUUCCAGGUGUAGCGGUGAAAUGCGUAGAUAUCUGGAGGAACACCGGUGGCGAAGGCGGAUCUCUGGGCCUGUCCUGACGCUGAGGCGCGAAAGCUAGGGGAGCGAACAGG
This 253-nucleotide ribosomal RNA is filed under the name uncultured bacterium. Its description in RNAcentral is "partial 16S ribosomal RNA". It matches the Rfam family "Bacterial small subunit ribosomal RNA", at positions 524 to 776 of the family's 1533-position model. The record is from RNAcentral.